CCCUAGUUAGCUCAGUUGGUAGGGCAUGAGACUCUUAAUCUCAGGGUUGUGGGUUUGAGCCCCGUAUUGGGCA
This is a non-coding RNA of Podarcis lilfordi (Lilford's wall lizard), 73 nucleotides long. The record is from the annotation of a GenBank genome assembly. NCBI's taxonomy places the organism in Eukaryota, Metazoa, Chordata, Lepidosauria, Squamata, Lacertidae.